Long non-coding RNA from Symsagittifera roscoffensis, 1161 nucleotides. RefSeq lists it as uncharacterized. The record is from RefSeq and is a predicted model, not a curated record. Lineage: Eukaryota; Metazoa; Xenacoelomorpha; Acoela; Convolutidae. The transcript has 3 exons.
AUUAUAGUAACAUUUCGACCAUCGUUAUGUUGUGCAAAUAUUAGCGAGCCACAAGCAAGUACAAAAGUUCAUUGUUGUUGAACUUACUCAAAUGAAUACUUCUUUCAAUUUUCUUACUCCGAAAAACCUAUUCAUAUUCGUGUUAUAUUGUUGUUUUGUGUCCAUCCAAGUAAAGCCGGAAGUUUCUAUUCCCGUUGGGCCCACUAGUGUGAAUAAAUCUCGUAUUUCGACAGUUCUUGGAGGUCACCGUAGUCCAGCUCGACUAUUUUAUGUGCAAGUGACUCAACUGACGCCGAGUGCCGACAGAAAAUUGAUGUGUGGAGGUACCAUCAUCCACGAGGAGUGGGUGCUCACAGCGGCACAUUGUGUCAGCCACAUACACCCUAAUGAUAUUGCUGUGAGGACAGGAGAUUUCACUGAAGAGGACAGUGAGAAAACUGAAGUACUGGUGGAGCAGAUCUUUUGGUACGCCGACUACACAGUAAACAAACACCGACUAUUUAAUGACAUUGCUCUGAUUAAAGUGUACAACCACACCUUUCCCGGAGACCACGUUUUGCCCAUUUGCCUUGAAAUAGUUUCCGAGUGCCCCAUUUUCGGCUUCUGUGGAACGGGAUAUGCUCGGCUGAACGAGCGGACCUUUUCGCCUCAGAUGAAGGAAAUUCUCCUGUAUCAAAGAAGAGCCGGAUGUUGUUGGGACUACUUGGUAAAAUGUCGCGCCGACCUUGUCUGCACUCGGCGACUGGGGGCGUUCCGAGAUGAUAACAUUUACUUCGGCGACAGCGGGGGACCUCUUUUUAUGUUCGGAGAGUUUCCAGAGAACAAACCUCAAUGUGUUUACGGUGUCGCGAGUUUUUUCCGUCGCUGUGAGCGGAGAUUCGGAAAUAUUCCGCUGAUUAAUUGCUUCCUAGGUGGAAGUUACUUUGCAAGUGUUCCUUACUUUUCCGAGUGGAUAGAAAGAACAGUAUAUUCGUAUUAUGUAGAAAAUGGUUUACUUCCAGAAGAGCAGAGUGACUUACAAUCAGAGCAAAAUGACUUUGACACUUUAGUUGAAUAUUGAACAAAAGAUGCCUUCGUUUCAAUAAACCAAAUGGUUUCAACCUUGGUUGAUAUUCUGUUUUAUUCUGGCAAAAAUCAACCAAGAUUCAGUUUCGAAUGAGA